UACGUAGGGGGCAAGCGUUGUCCGGAUUUAUUGGGCGUAAAGCGCUUGUAGGCGGCCAGAUAGGUCUGCUGUGAAAACUCGAGGCUCAACCUCGAGCUGUCGGCGGAAACCAUCUGGCUAGAGUCCGGAAGAGGAGAGUGGAAUUCCUGGUGUAGCGGUGAAAUGCGCAGAUAUCAGGAAGAACACCUAUGGCGAAGGCAGCUCUCUGGGACGGUACUGACGCUGAGACGCGAAAGCGUGGGGAGCGAACAGG
This 253-nucleotide ribosomal RNA is filed under the name uncultured bacterium. Its description in RNAcentral is "partial 16S ribosomal RNA". It matches the Rfam family "Bacterial small subunit ribosomal RNA", at positions 524 to 776 of the family's 1533-position model. The record is from RNAcentral.